UUGCCGCCUGCCCUGCACGCGGUGCAGAGGCACGCAAUGCCUUCUGUUUUUAUACAGCAAAUAUGAGAAAAGUAUCUUUUAUUUCUCCAAGCUGAUGAUUUACAGAAUUUCACAGCAGUUUUGCAUUAGAGGACUGGACGCAUCUGUGCCACCUUCUCUUUCUCAGCACUGCUGGUCUUUUCUGCUCCUGUUCACCUGCUGUUAAGCUCACACGUCCUGAAUCCCUCGCAUGAAGGUGGAAGAAGGGACCUGAGCAGAAGAGUCCUACUUUCUCAGUUUUGCCAAAGAGAUCUCAGAUUAGAGCACUGGCAUUGCACGUGGUUUGGAAUGUUUCUUGAGCAUGAAAGGCCUGUGCACAGAAGCCCUAAGGAGUGGGCUAGGCAGAGCUCUUCUCCCAACUGGCUGAGACACAGCUGUUUGGUGUUAGGACAAACCCCUAGGAGAGAUGAAAGGUUCUAGGAGACUGCAAGCCCCCUGGCUGAUCUACAGCUCACACAUGUUGUUAAUUAAAGCAUCACUGAUUUCAUGCACCUGGCUGAGCUCUUUAGUGGAAGGCAGAAACUGGGAAGUUACUCUGUUUGUGUGGUGUUGUACUCCAGAACAAAAGCAGCAAAAUGGAGAUGAGACUAGAAGAAAACAAAUGUGUGAGCAGCAUAAGGUGAAUACGCAGACAAUUGUGUGGGGGAAAAUGGCGCGACGGAUGAAUGAUUGGAGGAGCAUAGCAGUGGGAGCUGAAAUACACGCCUACAGGAAAUACGUGCAUACCACAAAGACAAGUUUAACGCAUAGCCGCCCAGGUUAAGUGUAAGGAAUCUAGGUAUGGUGCAAGUCACAACGUAGUCACAACAGCCGAGGGUUCUGCUCGG
RNAcentral lists this long non-coding RNA (866 nucleotides) under Numida meleagris (helmeted guineafowl). RNAcentral's name for it is "lncRNA (ENSNMEG00000004072.1)". The record is from RNAcentral. Lineage: Eukaryota; Metazoa; Chordata; Aves; Galliformes; Numididae.